GGGGAGUUUCCGGAGCGGUCAAACGGGGCAGACUGUAAAUCUGUUGGCUUACGCCUUCGGUGGUUCGAAUCCGCCACUCCCCACCA
This 86-nucleotide transfer RNA is filed under the name bacterium. RNAcentral's name for it is "tRNA-Tyr". It matches the Rfam family "tRNA". From Rfam's summary of the family: Transfer RNA (tRNA) molecules are approximately 80 nucleotides in length. Their secondary structure includes four short double-helical elements and three loops (D, anti-codon, and T loops). Further hydrogen bonds mediate the characteristic L-shaped molecular structure. tRNAs have two regions of fundamental functional importance: the anti-codon, which is responsible for specific mRNA codon recognition, and the 3' end, to which the tRNAs corresponding amino acid is attached (by aminoacyl-tRNA synthetases). tRNAs cope with the degeneracy of the genetic code in two manners: having more than one tRNA (with a specific anti-codon) for a particular amino acid; and 'wobble' base-pairing, i.e. permitting non-standard base-pairing at the 3rd anti-codon position. The record is from RNAcentral. RNAcentral also lists the same sequence under 1 other name.